AAAUUGAAGAGUUUGAUCAUGGCUCAGAUUGAACGCUGGCGGCAGGCCUAACACAUGCAAGUCGAACGGUAACAGAAAGCAGCUUGCUGCUUUGCUGACGAGUGGCGGACGGGUGAGUAAUGUCUGGGAAACUGCCUGAUGGAGGGGGAUAACUACUGGAAACGGUAGCUAAUACCGCAUAAUGUCGAAAGACCAAAGAGGGGGACCUUCGGGCCUCUUGCCAUCGGAUGUGCCCAGAUGGGAUUAGCUAGUAGGUGGGGUAA
This 263-nucleotide ribosomal RNA is filed under the name Escherichia coli. RNAcentral's name for it is "partial 16S ribosomal RNA". It matches the Rfam family "Bacterial small subunit ribosomal RNA", at positions 1 to 260 of the family's 1533-position model. The record is from RNAcentral. Lineage: Bacteria; Pseudomonadati; Pseudomonadota; Gammaproteobacteria; Enterobacterales; Enterobacteriaceae.